CCGGUGCCAUGGCUACCAACAUUCUCUGGCUGUCAUAGCUACCUGACACAUCUCAAAGGAUUCUGAGGUCAUCUCAAACAACUGACUCUGUUCCCAUAGCGAUCAGUGGGAAAAGAGUCCCACGUGCAGAGGGUGCACUGAACCGUUCCCCGAAGGUGCUGGCCCAUCUCCACUGGCUGUGGAGACAGCCUGAAUGACCAGCUUAGAUUAAAAGCCUAAAUUUCAUGCAGCUACAGUCAGGGGAACCCACUCCCACCAUUUAGAGGCGUUUUCAAGCUCGUUGGACACUUUCAGCAAAAUCCAGCAGCAGGUUCACAGUCCCAGUGAGGUCAGUCACUGCACAUCUGGAGGCCCAGGAGAGUAACCACAGUCCUUCUCUCUGGCCUUUUAAACUCUGUUCCUAAACUGAGGCAGAAGAUAGGGAGGAAGCCUGUCCUCUGAGGGCCAUGGAUGCAUCAUUACCUGAGUCACUCCCAGUCCAAUUAGACAUCCAUGCAGCCACCAUAUCACGCAGAGUAAUCAGCUCCAAAGCCAACACCAUAAUCUCUUCACAUGUCAGAGCAGUGCACACAUCAUUCCAGGGAGAAGUCAGGGAACGGGAGAUCGGAGCCAAGCCCCACUCUCAGCCAUGGCAGCGCAAAGCCGCAGCGGGUUUGGUGAAGCCAAUUAAGCUGCACAAGUGCCUGUAAAUCAGCCUCGAACCAAAUAAAGCAGAAU
Molecule: long non-coding RNA, 717 nt
Filed under: Numida meleagris (helmeted guineafowl)
Lineage: Eukaryota; Metazoa; Chordata; Aves; Galliformes; Numididae
Description: lncRNA (ENSNMEG00000004923.1)
Source: RNAcentral